RNAcentral lists this ribosomal RNA (460 nucleotides) under uncultured bacterium. RNAcentral describes it as "partial 16S ribosomal RNA". It matches the Rfam family "Bacterial small subunit ribosomal RNA", at positions 338 to 795 of the family's 1533-position model. The record is from RNAcentral.
CCUACGGGUGGCAGCAGUGAGGAAUUUUGGGCAAUGCACGAGAGUCUGACCCAGCCAAGUCGCGUGAAGGAUGACUGCCCUAUGGGUUGUAAACUUCUUUUAUAUGGGAAUAAAUUGUUCCACGUGUGGGAUUUUGUAUGUACCAUAUGAAUAAGGAUCGGCUAACUCCGUGCCAGCAGCCGCGGUAAUACGGAGGAUCCGAGCGUUAUCCGGAUUUAUUGGGUUUAAAGGGAGCGUAGGUGGAUUGGUAAGUCAGUAGUGAAAGUUUGGGGCUCAACCGUAAUAUUGCAGUUGAAACUAGCAGUCUUGAGUACAGUAGAGGAGGGCGGAAUUCGUGGUGUAGCGGUGAAAUGCUUAGAUAUCACGAAGAACUCCGAUUGCGAAGGCAGCUCACUGGACGGCAACUGACACUGAGGCGCGAAAGUGUGGGUAGCAAACAGGAUUAGAUACCCUAGUAGUC